RNAcentral lists this long non-coding RNA (11142 nucleotides) under Polistes dominula (European paper wasp). RNAcentral's name for it is "uncharacterized LOC107069936, transcript variant X3". Lineage: Eukaryota; Metazoa; Arthropoda; Insecta; Hymenoptera; Vespidae. The record is from RNAcentral.
UCUCUCUCCUUCUUAAUUAUGCACGCACGCACGCACGCAGCACCCACACCUGCACCGAAAGAGAGAAAGAGAUCCAAUUGUGGAUUAACGAAACGUCACUGCUCGCGCACGUGAGUACACGUCGAAGUUAGACGAACGUCACCGAUGGCACAGCGAUGCUGCGCAAUGUUACUAUUUGACGAACAAAAAAUAAUAACGACGUUAAGGAUGUUAAAUAUCCACACGAAUUGCGCACACUUGAGGCUCAUUUAUCUCUAACAAGUCACGAUUUCAUAUCAACCAUCUGUCGGCAAGCAGGUCUUUCCUCCUCGAAAAGUUUCCUUCCUUUAGCGAAAGGAAAAAUGGGAUAAAAUUCGAAGAAGGGAUAUCAGAGUGAUCAAGAAAAUCGGAGGGAGAGAGAGAGAGAGAGAGAGAGAGAGAGAGAGAAGAAAGGAGAAAAAAUAGAGCGCGCGCGCGCGUUCCCUAGAAAGAGAGAGAGGGAUGAAAGAGAUGACAGAGGGGAUAAAGGGGGUUAGAGGGGAGGGAGAGAUCUAGAUAUGCCUGCCGGCUUAAGCUUGUCAAAGAAACAUUUGAUGGUGCUCCUCUUGGAGAGCAGUGGUGGUUGCGGCGGCGGUGGCGGUGGCGGUGACGGUAGCUGUAGCAACGAUAAUAAUUCCUCGUAAUUCUCUUGUCUAUUCCUAUUCGUUUUUUCUUUCUUUUUAGGGAUAGAGACGAUACGAUCCCACGUCACGUACGAGUGGCAAAGUGCGAACAACGAAGCGGCGGAAGUAACAGUGAGCAAGAUGGAAAGACACGCGUCUCGAAGCUGCCGCGAGUGACUAAGCUCGUCCAAGUCGAGCGAGUCAUGCAGUAGGAAGUAUCGCCUACUUGCUUGCCGCCAGAUUCUAUCCCCACUUUGGUAUCGUCGAUAUCGCCAACGUUCUACUCGGAGAGAUGGAAAGCGAGCGCCCUGAUCCACCACUGGUGUGCGCCGUCGAUGCGCGCGCGCCUGAUGCGCACCGUUCAUCUGCGCUAACUUGUCCCACUGCUCUCCAAUUCUCCUUCAAAGAUACUGACCACUUGUUUGGAUCGACGUGUUCCCGAUGAAUAGAGCCACCCUUUCCAUCCCUCCUCGGAUUCGCACCCCAUCGUGACGAAACAUUUCAUUUUCAUUUCGACCAAUUAAAGUGCUAAUGAAGAAUCUUUCCCUAAUACUAAUCAAAAAACUUAUGAUUGGAAUGAAACGAAAAAAUUGAUACAAGAGAGAGAGAGAGAGAGAGAGAGAGAGAGAGAGAGAGAAAACUAUCAAACGGCCUAGUCUUUGCUUAUCCGAAAAAUAUGAUACAAGGGAAAAUCUACUGGGAGAUGGCAGCACCAUCUACGAGGAGGAGGAGGAGGAGGAGGAUUUCAUUUUACAUUAAAUGAUCCUGAUAAAAUUGCAUCUAAAAUGCAUUUUAAUUGCGUCUGCGACGAUCGUCUUAUUGAUUUCGCAUAUUUCAUAUUUUACUGAUUAUUUUGAAUUUUGAAAAACAGGACAGCGCGCGCGCGCGUUUAUCUAUUUACCGUCCAAAGUCGAACGUGAUGAAAUUCCCGCGGCACUCAUUGGAGAAGGAGCUUCGCCAAUGAGGCGCCGACGUUAAGCGUCUUCUCUCGCGAAGAGAAAUAAUCGAAGUGCAGCCUACGAUAAACGGGUAGGGAACUCCGACGAGAGACUAUGGAAGGGGAUUCGCUGACUUCCUCGUAGCUUCCUCGUAAUUGUUAUCGCGAUUGUUGCCACCGAGUUAAACCUAACCGAUCGUUGACACACUCGAGGAGAAUGAAACUGCGCGUGGUCAAACCGCUUUUCGAAGUGUCCAAAGACCAAAGUCGCUUGUAUUUGUUGACUGCCUGCACCAAGUGCCAAGUCCGCCCGCGUUUGAUAGAUUGUUCCAACCCUGACGCAAAUCUGACAAAAUUCACAAACUUUAGGAUGCGUUCGAAACAUAUAUUACAAAAAUAAAAAGUAAGUAACAUAAGAACAAUAUUGUUUGGUGAAAAAAAAAGCGCGCCAAACAUCAUGACCAGCACCAUCAGUCACAAGCACCAUAGGAAUUGGUGCUACUCAUAAGCCAAGCAGGCAGGCAGGCAGGCAGGCAGGAAGGCAAGCAGGCAGGAAGGCAAGCAGGCAGGCAGGCAGGCAGGCAGGCAGGCAGGGCAGGAUAUAACAGGAUAAUGUCUGCAAUAUAAAAAUUCAAAUAUGCUCUCAGCGUAAGGCUGAGUCGAUGCAACUGUCAUGAGGAGUUAGUCGUAUCUAUCUUUUGUAAGAUUAACAACGAUUCAGAAUGUAAUUUGUAAACUGAUGGGUCUGUCGCACCUUUUACUUCUAAGUAAAGGGAACUAGAAGAAGAGAGAGAAGAAUCGAAGGCGUACAAUGUUCUUAUCGAAAGCACUGGAAUGAAGGAGGACGAGCGAGCGCUCAAAGAAGAAAGAAAAGGGUAGGAGGACAAUCGACGAUAUGCGCCAGGGUUUGCUGUUGUGUUUGCUGUUGUGUUUGCCCAACAGCUCCACUCGUCAUCCCGGAUGUACAACAUCUUUAUAUGCUAUUCUUCGAUGCAGUUACCUACCAACGCGAUUCUUCUCUUUUUCACCUAUUAACGAGUCUUCUUGAACUAUACCUAACUGCAUAUAGAGACAUGUAUGUACCCGUAUCGCGAAUACAACAGAAAUCAUAUAGUAUAACGUAUUACAAUAAAUAUUCGACCAAUUGAAAAAUAAACAAAAAGACAAAUAUCUAUCUAAUCUAAUUAGACGAUUAUUUAAUAAAUAAUAGAAUCGUUUGGUUAUUCAACUGAAAAUCCGACCGAACAAGUAUUCGUUGGUUCGUUUGGAGAAAGUGUCUCUUGUACCGAUGCCUUAAGGCGCAUUUCACAUGCGCUUUAAGAGCUCCGACUCGCCGCGAGCCGUCUGUGUGUGUGUGUGUGUGUGUUAACGCACGCUCGGCUUAUGUAAUCGGUUACGGUAAUAGCGUGGUAGUUAUAGCAAUCCGGGAGCAACCAACGGGUAACACAAUUCCUUGUUAAUACGCUAACGAAUACACUAACUCUUACAUUGUAUGCUUGAUAUUGCCAAUUUUCAUUGGAGAUUCCUCUUUUAAGCAUAAUAACUAAUAAAAAAUAAGAUUUUUAAGGUGACCGAGCGUUUCAUACAUUCUUAGACUCGUCGAAAUUGCGAUCGUUUUCUUGUUUUCCAAUGCAACAUGAAUUAAUUGUAAUUGUAAUUUUAAUAAUGCGUUAACGUUCGAACACGUAGUAAACUCUGGAAGUGAGCGGCAGACGCUUACAGCAAUGGCGACUUCAUGAUUUGACCCGUCGAGCCGACGAACCGGUUAUCAAUGCUCGGAAGCGUGUCGUUCGGCUCGAUUACGAUACGUCCUCCUCGAUGUAGGUGAGUACAGGAGCGUAUCGUGGCGUACCUUCCCUACUCAAUGCUACGCUAUUUUUUAUUGAAAUUCUGUCUUUUUAGUUUAUUUUAAGGAAAGACCAAUCCUGAAAACGAAUUGCUUUAACCUUCGAACCAAGUUUUUCGUAUUAAUUUGAAAAACGUGUAGGUAGGAAUUGCAUAAGUCUGGCUGGGUACGUACGCGAGCACUCGCUAAAGGCAAAGGCAAAGGCAAAGGCAAAGGCAAAGGCAAAGGCAAAGAGAAUCGGAUAGGAAGACGAACGAGCGGAACUGAGGUCCGUGGAGCUUCCUUUCCUUUCGACAUGCCUGGCUGCCUUCUCAUCCUCUCCCACAGAUUACAACCAACUUUUCUCUCUCUCUCUCUCUCUCUCUCUUGCGUGCGCGCGAGCGUCCAGGAGUACCUUCACUUGCUUGCACGAACAGCACACGUUCAAGCACAGGUUCUAACAUACACGCUCACCUUCUUACUCUCCCUCUCUUGCUUACCGAUGUGUAAGCACUACCACGUUAACAACGAGCAACGAGCCGCUGCUAAUACUACUAAGAACAACAGUAAUGGUCGUAAGACUAUUCGAAUCGGAGCAGGUCUGAAAAAGAAGGAACUACGUUGGACGCACCUACUUCCGGGAUGCGUCUUACCUCGGCGCACCUUCACCAACGAGUGAUGAUACGUUCUCUUAAUGAUCUUUACAUCUCAUAUAUUAAAACAUGUUUUAUUAAAUUUAUCGAAAUCUUAUUUUCUCACGAAUUAGACAAAUCUUCAUUUGUCGUACCUUAUUAAGAACGCAACGACAGAUCAUUCUUUGCGAGUAAAACGUUAGCGCGCUUAUAAUGGAGGAAGCCAUUACCUCAUUCCGCAUCCUUAAGUUCCUAUCGAACCGCUCUACCGACUCGACCGACGAUCGAACCACUUUACUUUCUAUCUAACGUUCGAACUUUAGCAAAAGAAGAGGAUUAAACGCAGGAUACGUCAUUGGAAAGAUUCUAGCUCGAUUGCUCAUGACAAAGGUAUUCAUAAAUUCCUCCUUCUAACGAACAAAUCAGACUACAUCGAAUAUCUUUGCGACCUCGAGAAAAUGCUCGUGGCACGAUAACCACUAACGCCGCCGAGUUCGAAUAACAUUAAAAUCAUUGUGACCUUAUCUCCAAGCCUGCGUACUUUCACCUACUCGAAGUACGGCUCUAUGUUCAAAUAUAUGUAUAAUAGUUUAGCGCGCUAUCCAUACGAUGCUUCAAAUUGAUGCAUAUAUUGUAUAUUGUAAUGAUAAUUAACAAGUUGAAUCACAUGAAAAGAUCCUUUCUCUCAUGCGAAAAGAAGAAGUAGGAGAAGAAGAAGAAGCAGCAGCAGCAGCAGCAGCAGCAGCAAGAAUUAGAGUUACUUGAAAUUAUGUAAUCGCUUUCUUCAUGUAAAUGCUUCUUACGAGCGCAAUCUUUUUGCCUGAUCAGUCCCUUUUAAUGAAAACCCUUAGAGUUUUACGAAAAGCAUGAAAUUUUAACAAAAAAUUCCAGGCGAUCUGCAAAUGUAUGAAAUUCCAUACGUUCACCGAUUUUCUCUUGUCACGACAACAUAAGGUGCGCAUAAGGUGAAGGUAUCGAUUGCGCAACAUCUAUAUUAUGCAACGAAGGCGGCUUCCUGCUGUUAUCCAAUCGUCCGGAGCACAGGAACUCGAUAUAGUUGCACAGUCGCUAUUUUCAUAACUUUUCUUUUUCUUAGCUUCGUCAAAGUGUUCGGAUAAAUCAAAUUAUCCACGUAAUAACGAACAGGUUUUUCAUUUAUCCAAAUAUCUAUAGUAUAUGGAAUAAGCAUUUUGCGAGUAUUUGCAUUUGCAUUUAGAGAAUUAUUUUGGAAGCCGUAGCGCGCAUCUGACAUUUGGAACCGUUGCGAAAGCGACUGUGGGAAGUUCUACGCGAAGCUGAUAUUUACGCGCGAAGAAAGUAAAGGCACCAGAGCCAUGAUGUUUCGAGUUCGAUCGAUUCUCGCUUAUGUCGCAAACAAGAUUCUCCAUCUCCUCCAUUGGGCUAUACCUGCGUAUACCAAUGUCGAAUCCAAUACUGGACACGCAAUCAUGCACGUAUAGAUAUAGUUCGAAAGAAGAUAGGAGGAACCCACGCCUUAUACUCACCCCCUGUGUUCGCUUCUCUACAAUUCCCCUUCUUACGUCUGCCCUUACGACGGCCCUUACGUCGAAAUCUGGCCACACCUCGAGAAUACUCUUCCGAGUAUUAGUCACUUCUAGCACAGCUGGGUUACGUCCCCGGAGUUUUUGCUGGUUCUUCCCUUCUCCAUUUUCAAGACUGAAUCAAUCUCGGUUUAUCCUAGAGAAUAGCGGCAAAUUUUUUCAUGAUUUUUCCAAGAUGCGUAUUGCUUAUCACACAAUUAUUCACAAUAUAUUGUAAUAUAAAAACGUAACGUGAAUGAAGAUUCGUUUGCUUUGCUUUUUAUCCUUGCGCUUUCCUAAUCGAUAGCGCGUGCAAUGCGUAUCUAGGUUGCUCUUGUGAAAAUGGGAAUAUAGCGAAGGGAGCUGAUUUAGGAGAGAGAGAGAGAGAGAGAGAGAGAGAGAGAGAGAGAGAGGGCUGAAUUUGUUUGUCGAACCGGGCUUCUCUGCUAAUGCCCUAGUUAGUACUUUGGUUUCUUUUGUGCCACCCUCCGGCUACCACGUCCCCCAAAUCCGUGGAUUUGAACCCUCGCAGGAACGGGAAAUGCACCCUUCCGCUAUUCUACUACGGCUAUUCUACGUUGUAGAAUGCAAUUUUCAUUUUGCACGCAGUUCAAACGCAUCGCCGACCUUUAUAACGUUUUUGCUCGUCUCUCUCUCUCUCUCUCUGUUUAAUAAAUCUAUUUUAUAUUUUUUUUUUUUAAAUAUAAUAAAGUAUAAGAAGACUUAGGAAUUUCUUUAGUUUCUUCCUACUAUCAUAAGUGAGUUGUUUAGUUUUUUGAUCUGUCGAAUUGGAAUACGUAGACCUUGUAUCAUAUUCGUCAACGAAUAUAAGGGAAGCCCUUCUCACCGAUGUUUCGUAUUUUGAAAGCAAGCCACUCUAAAUGAUGAGAUUUUCGAUGGCAUCCGUCGCGCGGCCAUCCGACCCUUCGGUCGCGUUUGUUGAAAGAAACCGGAGCGCAUUAAAGUAUUGCUGGAGCGCUUUCGCUUUUGGCUUUGCUUUUGCUUUUGCUUUUGCUUUUGCUUUUGCUUUUGCCUUUAUGGCCGCCUGGAACAAUGACGAAUCCCCGACGUCAUUGUGGUUGCCCCUGCAGCUCCGAUGAAAAUACAGGAAAGGGAAAAAUAUAAAAGAAAGCGCGAAAGGCGAAUGUAGGAAAAAAGAAAAUGGAAAACAAAAAGAAAAAAAGAGCAAGGUGUGCAUCAGGCAACAGUCACUCGCUCCUGAUUACACGGACCAUUGUGCAAUAACAACAAAAUCGGUAUACGAGAGGAUGAGUGUAAAAUAAUGCCUAUGACUGGGGUAAGAACUAAGGGUAAGACCUAAGGGUAAGACACAGGCUACAACGGUAUAGCGCAAAAAAAAUAAGUAACAUUUUUUCAAUUAAUGAAACAUAAAGCAAGAUAUAACUUUUCCAUAAUGACCAUCAGCAAUGAAGCAAUCUUCAACAAUCCCCCGGAUAUUAAUACUCCUCCAAUAAGCAUACAUUUAUAAUGGCAUUUCUCCAAGCCGACUUGCUAAAUUGUUAUUGAUAAUAUUUUUCUAUUGACAAUAGGAAUACAAGUAAAACCUUCUUAUGGAAUAGAAUAGAUAUUUCUAAAUUUUCCAAUAUAAAAUUGUCAUUUUAUCGUCUUCCUCUCAGAUAAAUGCUGCUUUGAUCAAACAAAAACCUUCAUCUUUUCGUACACAUUUAACAAAAAUGAAAUGUUCAUAAAGUUACAUUAAUGAAUCUUAUGACAAUACUGUAUACUAAAAAGAAAAAGAUUCUAGUUUUUACGUAUACCACGUAAGCCGCUGUGUUACAACGAAUGCACGUGCAUCGGAUUAAAGACUUGUCGUUGAUUCUUCGCUAACCUGUCGCGGAGAAACCGGAAACGAGUUGAAUUCUUACGUGGAAACGCCUUGAUCCCGCAGGCCAAGCAGGUAGGACUGGUAAAACGGGUGGGGCUUCCGCUUUGAGAUCGUCGAUCAGGAUUGAUACAUCGAUCAUUCCUCAUACGUAUAAAAGAACCGUACAAGUAGUUGAACAAUCCUUAUCACGAGUAAUCUCAUUAAUCGCCAUAAAGAGCUUUGUAUUUUUUCAAAACAUGACGUUCCUACGACUGAUGUGAAUCGUAAAAAAACAUAAAAAAACUACGUAGGAAAUAAUUAAUAUACAAUAUAUUAGGUAUCGGUAAAUCCUGAGCAAUGUAUAUAUAUAUAUAUUAUAGUCUUUUAUUUGAUUUCAUUAACGAUUAUAUAAAUGCGUUCCUUGGACAAAGAUUUCGCUACUUUUGUAACCUUUUGCUCAUGAUACAUAGAUACGACGCGAGAUCACUGAAGAACUUUAACAUAAACCGCAACACAGGAGGAUGAGGCAAUGUUACCAAGUAUCGACGUUUCGGUGUAACGAUAUCUUCUUUGAAGGUUUUACGUGUCUACGACCUUCUAAGGGUGCGGUUGCGAUCGCGAGAUUCUAACGUUAUGACAUUCGAACGAACGAUGUCAAAUGAAUUUUAGUAUUUGACAAAAGAAAUCAAAUAUAAGUGCAUAUCGCGACAACAACGACUAUGAAACUAAUUUAGAUAGAAAAUAAAUAGAUUAUACUUGGACGAAUGUUGAAUUUUGAUUGAGAGUUGAACGCGCGUGAGUUAUAAGCAAACGCGAGUCCUAACAACUAUUUCCCACGAUUCAUGAUACGCGUCAAAAUAUUCAUCAUCGAGUAGGGAUAACGGUGCUGAGAUACUUUUCGUUCGAACAGCGACUUUAAAUCCCGAAGCAAGGUAGUAUCGGUAUUUCUUGCGGUUCUUUGUCCCGCAGGCCGUAUACCAACCUCACCUCACCUGUGCCAGGCCAGUUCGUCCAAGUAACUCGAUCACGCGUGGCAUACCGUGUAUGUGUGCGUGUGUGAGAGAGAGAGAGAGAGAGUGUGUGUGUGUGUAUGUGUAUGGGGUAUUCCUCCCUCCUCCAACUAUGGUAACAUCCUUCGAAGCGUCUCCAUCUUCGCACUCGCUUCAUCUAUUCUCACAGUACAAAGUUAUCGUUUUGCUUCCAUUUCUGUUUGUAUUCCUUUUACGAAGAAGAAACAUCGACCGAAUUAUUGCUAGUUGAGAUUAUAACAAAUGAUAGAGAAAAGAGGUGUUAAUGUUCCAACGUAUGUAUCUUGAUUCGAUUAUAGAAAAGAAAAAGCGAUAAAAGGAAAUAGCGUAGAAGGUAUGGUGAGACGAGGUGAGACGAGAAGGGAAAAAUGGCCGCACAGCAGGUCGGUCAUAGACUGCUUUUUCUAAAGAGUAUGAGAAGCUGGAAUAACCGACCCGAUGAACCGAGGUUCCGGAGGACAGAACGGUACACGAUGCCUUCCUCCUCUUUCUUCUCCAACCUUCACCGAGAGGCCACCGAAGAUGAGGGCCAGCAGGACCUCGGAGUUCCCACUCUUGGAAUUCCUAAGUACGCUUCUGAUGGACACGCGCUAGUAUACGUAUACGGUACUCGCGUCGUUUGUUACUUUGCCAAGGUACGCAAUGUAUGUAUGUUUUUAAGAAAAUAGUUAACGUCGUUGCACUCUUAUUCGCCUUAUUCUGAUCGCAACCACAUAUAAUUCUAUUUUCUACUAUUAAACAUUAUUUUCUUGCAAACAUUUAUCAUCGUUUGCGCAUCCUUUAGGCGUCUAUUAGGCAUCUAUUACGCGUCGUUUACGCCUCGUUUACGUAUUGAAUAUUUCAAACGAACGCGCUUGUUUCGAGUCAUCCUGGAGGCAGAGCUCUACGUUGUAAGUUAAAUCUCUAAUUGAAAUCAUUUCAACUUGCUUCGCAAUCUAGACGCGUUGAGAAAGUUUUGACUCUCGAGCGCAGCAACUCGGACGAAAAGUACUUGCUUGCAAUAAGCAAAAAGUAUCUGUCUUUUGCAACGAUUGUUUAUUCCACAUUUCCAAUUCUUAUGGUAUUCUUGCCAUGAGAGCACUUUAAUAGACGAUUAAAGGUCAACGACAAUUCCGAGAACACUCGACAAGUUUCAUCUCGAUGUUCUAAAAUGACCCCAAUGCUGCCUUAAUUUAGACAAUUUGUCGCGUGGUCCUAUCUCGACGAUUGCUAUUAUAUACGCUUCUUCAUCCACCUUCACAGACAUAUCCUCCUCACACUUUAUCCUACUUUUGAUCCUUAUCUCUUGCAAAGCUAUUACGAUUUUACGAUUUUACGAUUUUACGAUUUUACGAUUUUAGUGCUUUUCCUAAUUCUAUCGGUAAAAGGAAAACUUCUUUUCCCUGAGACAAUUCAUCCAAAAAAUCUCUUUGAUUUUCAAUUUGAAAAUUCGUCAACGAUACGAAAAAAUGAAACGCGUAACGCGCGAGUGUUCUCCUCUAUUUCCGUUGACGCUUACGUCGUAGCUCGUCGUAGCUCGUCGUAGCUCGUCGUAGCUCGUUGUAAUCAGCCAUAAAGACCCUCGAGUUCCUCCAAGACGAAGGCAAUUCCCCGAGAUGAAGCAGAAGAGAAACGAUGAAACGAAUGGAAGAAGAGGGCACUCCGUUAUCGUUCACCUCUCAUAACGGUUUCUUCGACGGAGGGCGCGAUCCCACAUCGCUUCGUGUCGUCGCUCAGUAAGAAUGGUCCGCCGUUUAUAUCUUUAAGUAUCUCCCUCUGUAUAUGCCCGUGUAUUGUAUCUAACCGAUACGUAUUCAACAUAUUUAUUACAUCAGCAGAUAAUCUACGCCCUGACGCAACUUAAACGAAAUAAAUAAAAAGCAUCUACAAUUUAUCUCUAAUAUUUUAUUUAUUUUCAAAUAUUUCAAAUCUUUCUAAUAUUGAGAGAUAAAGAGAGAAAGAGAGAGAGAGAGAAAGGGAAUAAAGUUACAAAGUGUAAAGGAAUACGAAUGUAUCAUUUCGUAGCUCGUCGUAAUAACACCUUUGUUUCCGGUAAUGGAACAAAACGCCAACUCCUUAAAUGCUUUUAUACCCUCGAUGUAACGGCUCCUCGUGACUUCUUUGGCUUCCGGUACAAGCGAGGGUCACCGAAGACCCGGAAGUUCGUUCGACUCAGCGCAUUAACUUUCCUCGGAGCCCCUCAGUAUUAUAUACCUUUCAAGCCAUUGGAUACUUUGCGAAUUGUAGCACGCGGAAGAAUAAGUGGAAAGGCAAUCUAUGAUACUACAAUCAUUUCAUCUUUUAUUUUUCCUUACAAACGGCAUUCUAAGACCAGCAAGAGAACAACGUUGCUCUAUAAUAAUUACUCGAAUAUUUAAUAUACAAUAUAUCUUCUAUUCUAUUUCUCCAAUAUAUAACAUUAAUAACUGACUUGAAGAAUCAAUGUACAUGUAUUAAGCUUAGAAUUCAAACUAGUAUGUGUUACAGUUCACCUACGUACAUUUAUAUAACGAAACCAAUCCAAAAGAGACAUACACGCGACACCUAUCCUUGCGAAUGUAAAAUUCGCUAUAUGAAGCGCCACAUGUAGGAAAGAUGUGGGAAGAUUCAACGACAGUAUUACAUUACCACAUUUACCCUACAAUUGGCCCUAACGCGCUUGACGCCGACUCAAUUAAGAGGACUCUUUCUCUCUCAUUCUCUCUUUACCAGUAGGAAUAAAUGGACGUAAAAA